CAGAAGGGAUAUUUCACGGGAGCCAUGAUUUUACUAUCAAAUUGUUGGAGCUACUUGAAAGUUAAGAAAUAUUGCUCAAGGUUUAACUUCUUACAAGCCUGUUCCAGGCUACAUUAACGAUGUUAACAGGUUGGAUUAUUCAAUUGCUGAUGGUUCAGUAUUUGAAGAGUAUGUUUCUUUGUGAUGUGUUUACUACUGGAAUUAAAAAGAGUGAAAAGGAAGGUGAUUAAUUGAGAUUCAAGCUUAGCAUAUUAUGAAUAAUUACAUUUUACAGUUAGAAGAAUAUCACAAUCAGUUCUUCUAUCUUACUUGAAUCUUAUGCGUGUUUUAAAAGGGAAUUUGUUACUGUUUUCUGGCAAUGAAGCAUAAGAAGGGAAUCACGAGAAAAUUCAUAUCCUUUCAUUUAUAUUUUACCAAACAAAUUGACUUGAUGGAGGGUACAUGGUCUAGAAAUGAAUAGGCAGAUGUGGAAUGUGUCAACAAAUUGAAGGUUCUAAAAUUGGCUCAGAAAAUCUCGAUGGAGAAUUCGUAUUUGAGAAGCCCUUUUUAUAUAAUCCCAACGUUAAAUCUUCGCCUAUUUAAUUGUAUUACUAAUAUUUCUAUGGUAAGUUUGGAAGGAAUUGAUUGCUGCUAGAUUGGCUACUUCUUUAAGAAUGCAUAUCCGUUUAACAACCACCAUACAUUUAUAUUUAAUAUUCAGCAAUUAACGUGCAACA
Molecule: long non-coding RNA, 716 nt
Filed under: Olea europaea subsp. europaea
Lineage: Eukaryota; Viridiplantae; Streptophyta; Magnoliopsida; Lamiales; Oleaceae
Source: RNAcentral